AUGAGGAUGAUCUGUACCGUCAACAUUCGUGGCAAAAAAGACACUAUCAUCCCCGUCGGCUACUAUGGCAACGCCUUCGCUUCCCCGGUCGCCAUAUCCACUGCAGGUGACUUGCUCGCCAACCAUGUGAGCUACGCCGUGGAGCUGGUGAUGAAGGCGAAACGGGAGGUGGAUGUGGAGUACAUUCUCUCCGUGGCAACACUCAUGGCACAACGUGGGCGGCCACACUUUGCUGUGGCACGCACCUACCUCGUGUCGGACGUAACCAAAGUUGGAAUCCGCGACCUUGACUUCGGCUGGGGCAAGCCGGUGUAUGCUGGUCCGGCGACUGGCGGAGUCGUCACCUUACAAGGCGUUAGCAGCUUCUUCAUUGUUGUAAGGAACGCCAUGGGCGAGGAGGGUAUUGCAAUCCCCGUGUGCAUGCCCAGCCCCACCAUGGACAAAUUCGUUAAGGAGAUGGGCAAGCUCAUGUGCCCGGCAUUGGCCGACACGUUUUCCAAGAUGUGA
Molecule: ribosomal RNA, 507 nt
Filed under: Triticum aestivum (bread wheat)
Lineage: Eukaryota; Viridiplantae; Streptophyta; Magnoliopsida; Poales; Poaceae
Description: partial small subunit ribosomal RNA
Source: RNAcentral